AACAGGACAGGACCUUUGGGAUCAUCCUGAUCCCAAAUUCCUGGCCGGUCCUGAUCCUGAAUUCCCGGCCUCUCCCACUCCUUUGGGAUCAUCCCAAUCCCGAAUUCCCGGCCUCUCACGAUCCCGAAUUCCCGGCCUCUCCUGAUCCCGAAUUCCCGGCCUCUCCCUCUCCCUGCGCGCGCAGCAAGGGUGGAACAUCACGGUGGAUUUGGUCAUUGGCCCCAAGGGCAUCCGCCAGCUCACCGCCAACGACUCCAAGCCCACCUGCCUGGCGGAAUUCCGGGAUAUCCGAUCCAUCCGCUGCUCGGCGGCCGAGGACGGGCAGGCCCUGCUGCAGCUGGCGCUCAGCGGGAACCCCCAGUCGCUGGCGAUCCGGACGUCGUCGCUGGCGGAGGCGGAGAACAUGGCCGACCUCAUCGACGGCUACUGCCGGCUCCAGGGCGGCUCCGAGACAUCGCUGAUCGCCUUCCCGA
This is a long non-coding RNA of Parus major (Great Tit), 473 nucleotides long. RefSeq lists it as uncharacterized. The transcript is spliced from 3 exons. Lineage: Eukaryota; Metazoa; Chordata; Aves; Passeriformes; Paridae. The record is from RefSeq and is a predicted model, not a curated record.